This 85-nucleotide transfer RNA is filed under the name Burkholderia cenocepacia. RNAcentral describes it as "tRNA-Tyr(ata)". Lineage: Bacteria; Pseudomonadati; Pseudomonadota; Betaproteobacteria; Burkholderiales; Burkholderiaceae. The record is from RNAcentral.
UUGGCCGCGGCCGGUGGCGGCCGGCCGGUAUACUCGGCCGGUCUUGCGGCGGUGAAACCCGCGCGUUGGACCUGUGCCGGCCGGC